RNAcentral lists this ribosomal RNA (991 nucleotides) under Bacillus aerius. RNAcentral's name for it is "bacterial SSU rRNA". It matches the Rfam family "Bacterial small subunit ribosomal RNA", at positions 56 to 1032 of the family's 1533-position model. Lineage: Bacteria; Bacillati; Bacillota; Bacilli; Caryophanales; Bacillaceae. The record is from RNAcentral.
UGCAAGUCGAGCGGACAGAAGGGAGCUUGCUCCCGGGAUGUAGCGGCGGACGGGUGAGUAACACGUGGGUAACCUGCCUGUAAGACUGGGAUAACUCCGGGAAACCGGAGCUAAUACCGGAUAGUUCCUUGAACCGCAUGGUUCAAGGAUGAAAGACGGUUUCGGCUGUCACUUACAGAUGGACCCGCGGCGCAUAGCUAGUUGGUGAGGUAACGGCUCACCAAGGCGACGAUGCGUAGCCGACCUGAGAGGGUGAUCGGCCACACUGGGACUGAGACACGGCCCAGACUCCUACGGGAGGCAGCAGUAGGGAAUCUUCCGCAAUGGACGAAAGUCUGACGGAGCAACGCCGCGUGAGUGAUGAAGGUUUCGGAUCGUAAAGCUCUGUUGUUAGGGAAGAACAAGUGCAAGAGUAACUGCUUGCACCUUGACGGUACCUAACCAGAAAGCCACGGCUAACUACGUGCCAGCAGCCGCGGUAAUACGUAGGUGGCAGCGUUGUCCGGAAUUAUUGGGCGUAAAGGGCUCGCAGGCGGUUUCUUAAGUCUGAUGUGAAAGCCCCCGGCUCAACCGGGGAGGGUCAUUGGAAACUGGGAAACUUGAGUGCAGAAGAGGAGAGUGGAAUUCCACGUGUAGCGGUGAAAUGCGUAGAGAUGUGGAGGAACACCAGUGGCGAAGGCGACUCUCUGGUCUGUAACUGACGCUGAGGAGCGAAAGCGUGGGGAGCGAACAGGAUUAGAUACCCUGGUAGUCCACGCCGUAAACGAUGAGUGCUAAGUGUUAGGGGGUUUCCGCCCCUUAGUGCUGCAGCUAACGCAUUAAGCACUCCGCCUGGGGAGUACGGUCGCAAGACUGAAACUCAAAGGAAUUGACGGGGGCCCGCACAAGCGGUGGAGCAUGUGGUUUAAUUCGAAGCAACGCGAAGAACCUUACCAGGUCUUGACAUCCUCUGACAACCCUAGAGAUAGGGCUUUCCCUUCGGGGACAGAGU